This 95-nucleotide small nuclear RNA is filed under the name Notamacropus eugenii (tammar wallaby). Lineage: Eukaryota; Metazoa; Chordata; Mammalia; Diprotodontia; Macropodidae. The record is from RNAcentral.
AUGCAUAUAUUGCUCACUAAAUUGGAAUAAUAUAGUGCUUAGCAUGGUCCCUGCACAAGGAUGACAUGCAAAUUUAUGAAGCACUCCAUAUUUUU